This 440-nucleotide ribosomal RNA is filed under the name uncultured bacterium. RNAcentral describes it as "partial 16S ribosomal RNA". It matches the Rfam family "Bacterial small subunit ribosomal RNA", at positions 338 to 795 of the family's 1533-position model. The record is from RNAcentral.
CCUACGGGAGGCAGCAGUGAGGAAUAUUGCACAAUGGGGGAAACCCUGAUGCAGCGACGCCGCGUGAGUGAAGAAGUAUUUACGUAUGUAAAGCUCUAUCAGCAGGGAAGAAAAUGACGGUACCUGAUUAAGAAGCCCCGGCUAACUACGUGCCAGCAGCCGCGGUAAUACGUAGGGGGCCAGCGUUAUCCGGAUUUACUGGGUGUAAAGGGAGCGUAGACGGCAGCAGAAGUCUGGAGUGAAAUGGCGGGGCUUAACCCCGGAACUGCUUUGGAAACUGUGCAGCUAGAGUGCAGGAGAGGUAAGCGGAAUUCCUAGUGUAGCGGUGAAAUGCGUAGAUAUUAGGAGGAACACCAGUGGCGAAGGCGGCUUACUGGACUGUAACUGACGUUGAGGCUCGAAAGCGUGGGGAGCAAACAGGAUUAGAUACCCGAGUAGUC